RNAcentral lists this ribosomal RNA (865 nucleotides) under uncultured fungus. RNAcentral's name for it is "eukaryotic LSU rRNA". The stretch from base 486 to 865 matches the Rfam family "Eukaryotic large subunit ribosomal RNA", at positions 1 to 381 of the family's 3401-position model. Lineage: Eukaryota; Fungi. The record is from RNAcentral.
UCGUUCGUACGUGACCUGCGGAAGGAUCAUUACCUAGAGUUUGUGGGCUUUGCCUGCUAUCUCUUACCCAUGUCUUUUGAGUACUUACGUUUCCUCGGUGGGUUCGCCCGCCGAUUGGACAAUUUAAACCCUUUGCAGUUGCAAUCAGCGUCUGAAAAACAUAAUAGUUACAACUUUCAACAACGGAUCUCUUGGUUCUGGCAUCGAUGAAGAACGCAGCGAAAUGCGAUAAGUAGUGUGAAUUGCAGAAUUCAGUGAAUCAUCGAAUCUUUGAACGCACAUUGCGCCCCUUGGUAUUCCAUGGGGCAUGCCUGUUCGAGCGUCAUUUGUACCUUCAAGCAUUGCUUGGUGUUGGGUGUUUGUCUCGCCUUUGCGUGUAGACUCGCCUUAAAACAAUUGGCAGCCGGCGUAUUGAUUUCGGAGCGCAGUACAUCUCGCGCUUUGCACUCAUAACGACGACGUCCAAAAGUACAUUUUAACACUCUUGACCUCGGAUCAGGUAGGGAUACCCGCUGAACUUAAGCAUAUCAAUAAGCGGAGGAAAAGAAACCAACAGGGAUUGCCCUAGUAACGGCGAGUGAAGCGGCAACAGCUCAAAUUUGAAAUCUGGCGUCUUUGGCGUCCGAGUUGUAAUUUGCAGAGGGCGCUUUGGCAUUGGCAGCGGUCCAAGUUCCUUGGAACAGGACGUCACAGAGGGUGAGAAUCCCGUACGUGGUCGCUAGCCUUUACCGUGUAAAGCCCCUUCGACGAGUCGAGUUGUUUGGGAAUGCAGCUCUAAUGGGAGGUAAAUUUCUCUAAGCUAAAUACUGGCCAGAGACCGAUAGCGCACAAGUAGAGUGAUCGAAAGAUGAAAAGCACUUUGGGA